RNAcentral lists this ribosomal RNA (495 nucleotides) under uncultured bacterium. RNAcentral describes it as "partial 16S ribosomal RNA". It matches the Rfam family "Bacterial small subunit ribosomal RNA", at positions 28 to 507 of the family's 1533-position model. The record is from RNAcentral.
GACGAACGCUGGCGGCGUGCCUAAUACAUGCAAGUAGAACGCUGAAGGAGGAGCUUGCUUCUCUGGAUGAGUUGCGAACGGGUGAGUAACGCGUAGGUAACCUGCCUGGUAGCGGGGGAUAACUAUUGGAAACGAUAGCUAAUACCGCAUAAGAGUAGAUGUUGCAUGACAUUUGCUUAAAAGUUGCAAUUGCAUCACUACCAGAUGGACCUGCGUUGUAUUAGCUAGUUGGUGGGGUAACGGCUUACCAAGGCGACGAUACAUAGCCGACCUGAGAGGGUGAUCGGCCACACUGGGACUGAGACACGGCCCAGACGCCUACGGGAGGCAGCAGUAGGGAAUCUUCGGCAAUGGACGGAAGUCUGACCGAGCAACGCCGCGUGAGUGAAGAAGGGUGUCGGAUCGUAAAGCUCUGUUGUAAGAGAAGAACGAGUGUGAGAGUGGAAAGUUCACACUGUGACGGUAUCUGACCAGAAAGGGACGACUAACUACGUG